AUUGAACGCUGGCGGCAUGCCUUACACAUGCAAGUCGAACGGCAGCACGGGUGCUUGCACCUGGUGGCGAGUGGCGAACGGGUGAGUAAUACAUCGGAACAUGUCCUGUAGUGGGGAUAGCCCGGCGAAAGCCGGAUUAAUACCGCAUACGAUCUACGGAUGAAAGCGGGGGACCUUCGGGCCUCGCGCUAUAGGGUUGGCCGAUGGCUGAUUAGCUAGUUGGUGGGGUAAAGGCCAACCAAGGCGACGAUCAGUAGCUGGUCUGAGAGGACGACCAGCCACACUGGGACUGAGACACGGCCCAGACUCCUACGGGAGGCAGCAGUGGGGAAUUUUGGACAAUGGGCGAAAGCCUGAUCCAGCAAUGCCGCGUGUGUGAAGAAGGCCUUCGGGUUGUAAAGCACUUUUGUCCGGAAAGAAAUCCUUGGCCCUAAUACGGUCGGGGGAUGGCGGUACCGGAAGAAUAAGCACCGGCUAACUACGUG
RNAcentral lists this ribosomal RNA (485 nucleotides) under uncultured bacterium. RNAcentral describes it as "partial 16S ribosomal RNA". It matches the Rfam family "Bacterial small subunit ribosomal RNA", at positions 30 to 507 of the family's 1533-position model. The record is from RNAcentral.